Mus musculus (house mouse) is the source of this 4540-nucleotide long non-coding RNA. RefSeq annotates it as predicted gene 17112. The transcript is spliced from 3 exons. NCBI's taxonomy places the organism in Eukaryota, Metazoa, Chordata, Mammalia, Rodentia, Muridae. The record is from RefSeq and is a predicted model, not a curated record.
AAAAAAACCCAGGCACAGUAGCCACACCUAUACUAUAGCCCCAACACUUGCAGGCCAGGAUGGAAAGAGCCCUGAGAGUUUGCUGGUCAGGGAGUUCAUGUGAGAGCUCUCAAGUUCUGUGAGAGAUCUUGUCUCAGAUAUUAAAGCAGGAGCAGCUGGCUUGGCAGUUAAGAGCACUUACUGCUUUUCAAGAGGACCAGGGGUCAGUUGCCAGGCCUCACAUGGUGUCUCAUUACCUUCUGUAACUCCAGUUCAGGGAAUCAAAUGCUCUCUUCUGAUGCACCAGGUAUGUCAUGCAAUGCGCACACGUGCAUACAUGCAAAAUAUUUAUACACGUAAAAUAGCCACAGAGUAAAUGAGGAUGCCCCCACCCCCCUCUGCCAACUUAAACCUCCAAAGCAUCAGAUGUGGUGGCCCACACUUGUAAAAGCCAGACCUCCAUAACAGCACCCUGUCUCAAAACCACAGAACAGAAAGCAAAACAACACCAGCAAGGCCACUCGUUCACCUUUCCCUUUAAUUGACAUUUAUUACGCACAGAUUAUUACACGUGCACUUAUGAAUCCCAUGACUUAUAUAGAUAACAGGUUAAACAUUACAGUUUGGAAAAGAUCUUAUAGAUAGUUUUACUUCGGUUUCCUCAAAGUACCGAGGGCCAAAGUGACUUCCUUAAAGCCACAUAGAUGAGCAAGCUGCCUAAAGCCAGCCUCUGCAGAGCCACAUCCUCCUCAGGCUGGUUUCAGUGUUAACGAGUUUCCCUGGUUUAGCUCAUCCAGCAAUAUUCACUGAGCCCCAGUAAUGUACAGACGUUAUCCUACUCCCGGAGGAUAGCUGCAUACCUUGCAAGGAGCCUGUGGUUUACAGAGAAGAAAGAUCGAAGCCAGGCAUGGAAAUACAACAAGUGUCCAUGCUCUGGAUUGAUUGCCUUGCUUUUUAUAACAGAAGCAACUUAAGGAAGGGUUCAUUCAGGCUCGCAGUUUGAGGGGAUACAGUCUACCUUGGUGGAGAGAGCUCAAUAGCAGAGGCAUGUGAACUGGUCACAAUUGCUUAUACACAGUCAGAAAACAGAGAGGAACACUGGUGCUCGGCCGGCUUUCUUUCUCCUUUUUUUAUUUAGUCCAGAGCCUCAGGUGAAGCCAUGGUGCCUCCCACACUCAAAGUGGGUCUUCCCACCUCCACUAAGUCUUUCCAGAAAGACCCUUUCGGACACACCUAAAAACACGUUGCCUAGGUGAUCCUAACUCUUAUCAAGUUGACAAUCAAGAUUAACAGUCACGGGGCUGGAUUCAUUCUCUGUCUCUCUCUCUCCACUGCAGCAGGGAACACACUGCAUCUCAAGGAGGAAGGUGUGAGUGCAGGCACACGCUGGCCAUGUGCACAUGUGGAAGUCAGAGGACAACUUGCAGGAAUCAGCUCUCUCCUUCUCCCAGAGCUGGAGAGUUGUCUCAGCAUUUAAGAAACAUAUUGGCUGUUCUUUCAGCGGGACAGGAGAUCAUUGUCAACAUCCACGCUGGGUGACUUGCAACCUCCUGUAACUCCAGCUCCGAGAGACACGAAACCCUGGCCUCUCCAGGCUCAAGCUCACAUGCUCGGACAAACACACACACACAUAAUCAAAGUGAAUCGUAAGAGAAGAAAAACCUGGACUGGAGAGAUAGCUCAUUAGUUAAGAGCACUGACUGCUCUUCCAAAGGUCGUGAGUUCAAAUCCCAGCAACCACAUGGUGGCUCACAACCAUCCAUAAUGAGAUCUGAUGCCCUCUUUGGGGGUGUCUGAAGACAGCUACAGUGUACUUAGAUAUAGUAAUAAAUAAAUAAAUCUUUGGGCCAGAGUGAGUGGGGUCAGAGAAACCCUGUCUCAGAAAGAAAGAAAGAAAGAAAGAAAAGGAAAGGAAAGGAAAGGAAAGGAAAGGAAAGGAAAGAAUUCCUUGCAUUCCUCUUCCCAUGGCCUCUCUGGUGUGCUGAAAUUAUAGAUAUGCACCUCAUGUCCAACUGUCCUAAGCUAAGCUUGCCAUCUUCCCCAGCAACUUCAGCCUUGGACUGACCACCCAGGAGUACCUCAUUCUCUCACACCCAACUGUAACAAGGAGAGCAGCUGGGUACGGUCGCUCAGGCCUUUAAUCAAAAACGAGUUCAAGGCCAGUCUGUGCUGUGUGGUGAGCUCACGACUCUGAGCAAAACAAAACAAAGCAAGAGCUAAGUGUGGUAGUAACCCUCCUAUGAGAUGCCGAAGAGGCGGAGGCAGGAGGAUGGAGGGUUGGAGGCCACCCUAGCCUACACCUAAAAAGAAAGAAAGAAAGAAAGAAAGAAAGAAAGAAAGAAAGAAAGAAAGAAAGAAAGAAAGAAAGAAAGAAAGAAAGAAAGCAGGCAAUGACCCAAGAAACGAACCCAAAGAAACAUUUGGGGACAAUGGGGCCACAAGUCCUUCUCUUCUGCUUAGAAGCUGAUCAGAUAGAUACAAGGAAGGCUGGGAUGUGCUGUUGCUAGAUGUGGAUUAAUCUACAACAUUAAUAGAAAAACAAAGACUCCGUAGGCAUGGUGUCAUGUGGCUGUAAUCCCAACCUUCAGGAGUUAAAGGACAGCUUGAACCACAAAACCAGACUGUGUCUGGACUAGGGAGGAUAGAUUUUAGUGAAAGGCUAGUGGUUUGCAUCACUGUCUCUUAAAUCCACCACUCUACACCAACUGUUUCCUUAGUUCCUACUUAUUUUCUGGCUCUAGGAUGGCCUUUCUCUAACCAACUACUAAUUAGCUGCCAGCUAUCUUUCUUACAUGCAAAUUGGAUCCUAUAACUUCCCUGUUCCAAAUCAUGCAAUUGGGCCUGGAGCAUAGCUGAGGGUGGCAUAGUUGCCUAGGAUCCUCCCACGGAGGGGCUGGGCUUGUAGCACAAUGGUAGAGAGCUUACAUGACAAGGCCUUAGGCUCAAUCCUCAAUCCUGUAAAAUAAACACUGAUGUGGUCAUUUCUCAUGGCUUCCUUUUGAAGGGCCAAACUUAGCUACAUGACACCCAGCCAGGUCAUGCCCCCUCCUUUAGCAUGCCUUCCACCCAGACUCCAACACACAAAAACAUUUUUUAAGGUCAUUUUCUGGGGUUCAUUUUAAAGACUGUUUCCCUAGCCAACAUGGUUGCUUGUGCCCCACUGCAAUGCUGGUCCCGUCUCCAUUGCAGCCUUUACCAGGCUGAGUACUUUUGGAUUCCUGCCACCUGUACUGGGCCAAGGACUUCCUGUGUAGCCAAAGCAUUUGGUUUAAUCUGGCAGAAGGUUGGACGAGACCUGGGCCAGCAAGAAACAGACUCUCGCACAAUGCCAAGUAUAGAUAGAAUACAAUCCGCUCAGCAAAACAGCUGCUAUCUUGACCAGAUCAGCUGUGCCUUUGUGCAAAUUCAUCACAAUUGGGCCUGUGGGCUGUUGACAUUCAUGAAAGAGGGGAUGGGGAGGGUCAUUGGAACCCUGGGUUCCAACCACUUUUUCUCAGCUGUGUGUAUGCAGUUCUGUCUGUAUAUGAAAGUUAAAUAAGGAAGUAGAAACUCAAGAUUUCGUUGGAAAGACAGUUGUGUUGGAUGGUGUUUUGCUGCGGCAAACACAUGAAGGAGUGUUUUUCUGAAGCGGCUACCAGUAAAAGGAUGUUUUGUUAAAGUAGACACGUGAAGGAACAUUUUGCUGAAGUGGAUACGGGUGAAAGACUAAGGCAGACUCUUGAAGGACCAUUUUGCUGAAGCAGACACAGGUAAAAGGAUGUUCGGCUAAAGCACGCACGUGAAAGGACACGUGAUGAAGGAGUCUUUGCUAAUGGCACGCAUGUAUUGGUCCUCCUUACAUUGUGUAGUUGGGCUGCAUUUGUGCGGACUCCGUAGAGAGAAAUGCACCAAAAAGCUUCUGUUGGUGGCUGAGGCUUCUUGUCACUCCCUCAGACUCUGGCUGAUUGGCAGAGUGAUGUCAGCUGAGACAGACUUACGUACCGGACAAGACACAACAGAGACAAGACCCAUGGAGGACACAUGAUACUGGGAGGGAGCAGAAAAAGGACCUUAUGGACAGUGAUGGAGGCCAGGCUCAUUAGUUCUAGGGGGAACUUUGGUAGAAUUGUGCUUUGGUUUAUUGGGACCAAAUGAGAAGGCACAUAGAUAUUGCUUAUGUCUCCCCAGAGAAGAAAUGCUCACAACACCAAGUCAUGUGUUAAGGGUCUGAAGGCGUAGGCCCGACCCUUGGAUAUCAAUACCUUGUUUGAGUUAGCCUGAAUGUGAGAAUGGAAUGUGGGGGGCUUUAGUAGCUUGAUUGAAUUAAUGAUUUAACCAUUUAUCUUCCUGGAUGGACAUUAAACUCUGACAGUCUCAUCAAUAUCUAUAAGUCGUUGUAUUCCCAGUGACCAUUAGACACCUUCAGGAUACUUAUGGAUGGUCGGCACGAUGCUUCAGCAUUAUCUUGGUAAACUUGCUACCAAGUUCGAUCCCCAGGACUUAGAUUGUGGAAGGAGGGCUGGAGAGAUGGCUCAGCGGUUAAGAGCACUGACUGCAAUUCCAGAGGUCCUGAGUUCAAAUC